Molecule: long non-coding RNA, 1773 nt
Organism: Zeugodacus cucurbitae (melon fly)
Lineage: Eukaryota; Metazoa; Arthropoda; Insecta; Diptera; Tephritidae
Exons: 3
Source: RefSeq, a predicted model, not a curated record
AGUUUGGAGGACGCAGAUGUCACCACUACUUCUUUUAAAAAAUCAAAUAAAGAUGGAAGACUAACAUUGUUGUACUUAAGUACAAUAAUUACAGUGAUAACGUUGUUUAGAGUCAAUAUAGAAUAGCAUAAAAUCCAUUAAGGACUGCUUUAAAAAUGUGUCUCGUUGCAUAAGAAAGAAAUUUUUAUAUGGGAAAAGAGCUCCUUAAAGUAUACUAUAUAAAAUAUGUAGACAAAUUUCGAUAACUUUUCUUAGGCGUUACGAUAUACUUCAAGAAUACCAAUUUAGGAACGAAACGACGACAAGAACGACAACGACUUAGAAACUACUAUUAAAACGACAACGACAACGGGACCGAGCAUUCUUUGGAGCUCUUUUUGAGUUCCGAAACGAGAGCAGAGGGAGUAAUCUUCUUUGUCUCCAGAGAGAGCACGAACAAUAACAGAAAUCCGACGCACAAAAAUUUAAACAAUGUUGUAAAUAGUUGAAAAUUUUUUAUAAAUUUUUUCAUUUUUAAGAUAUGUAUAAGAAAUAGUAAUUCACUUAACAAAAAUAGUUAUGAUAAUUCAAAAUCCUGCUAAUAGUGGGUAAACAGUAUACUGAAACUCCAACACAUUCAAAGCAAUUUUAAUAACACCACUACAUACACACAAAUGUAACAAAGGGCAAAAUGUGCAUGAACAUUUACCUCAACUCUUCUCUCGUACAGCACCCGGAAUGAUAGAAAAAAACAACCAAAGUUCUCGUGAUCUGCAGCCUAAUUAAAGUUUAAAUUAUUGAAGCACGCAUUUUUAAAUAAGUAAAACGUAAAAUAGUUUUUUAAGGCCAAAAUAUGGAAUUGAAGAGGGUGAUACAGUAAUACUUCCUCGCACUGUCAAUUCAAAGCUACGCCAACAAUGGUCAACAUCAAGGGCGAAACCAUUGAAUACGUACAUAACCUAAUUGGUGUCACUUAUGGUAGCAGCGAAGAACUCUCGAAGGGAUAGAAAUAUGUGCUACAAGCAAAUCUAGAACUAUGGACGCAAACGCUGCUACAUCGAAGUCAAACCAUUUACGCACUAUAUAUUAGUAUGAUAGUCUUUCAAUUUGAAAUUCGUUCUGGUUCAGUUAUAUGUAGGUUAAUCGGAACUAGUUCAGGUCCAAUGCCACAUUUUUUAUAUGCAAUUAAACCAUUUGGCCAUCUACAUACAUACACUUGACAUCCACGAAGUGCGAGUGCAACAAGCACGUGAAGUAUUGGAACGGCAUGGUUUAGGUGAUUUUGUAACCGUUUAUCAUCAAGUCGUGUGUCAACUCGGUUUUGCCAAUGAGCUAGAGUGCAUUCUAGCAGAGAGCAGUAUUUUUGGACUUACCGGCACCUCAGUUGGCCGUACCAUUAGCAGCUAAAACAUAGAAAUCAGAAGGCAAAUUUAAGUGAAUGUUUGUGAUCACAGAAAUUAAAAAACUUCUUGUAUAUUUAAUUAGGAGGACUUUUUUGAUUCAUUUUCACCUGGGAUUGAGGAAUCAUAACGUUGUUGUAUCGUUUACAAGGCCAUGGAUUCACCGAAAUUAUUUCAAUGGAAUUACUACAGCAAGAGCAUGAAUGUUAAGGUUAGAACGUUGUCCGUGAUUGAUUUAGAAUUCCUGAAACAUAAGAAACCCUCCUCCCAGAAAUUGGGCGAAUCUAGUACUAGUGAAAUUAAUGAGAGAACAGAACUUACAAAAACUCCUAAAGAAACUAAAAGAGUUCUCACAUUAUGUGCGCACCUUACACAUACAGGCCGCACGGGGUAU